RNAcentral lists this ribosomal RNA (492 nucleotides) under uncultured bacterium. Its description in RNAcentral is "partial 16S ribosomal RNA". It matches the Rfam family "Bacterial small subunit ribosomal RNA", at positions 29 to 507 of the family's 1533-position model. The record is from RNAcentral.
AGUGAACGCUGGCGGUAGGCCUAACACAUGCAAGUCGAACGGCAGCACAGUAAGAGCUUGCUCUUACGGGUGGCGAGUGGCGUACGGGUGAGGAAUAUAUCGGAAUCUACUUUUUCGUGGGGGAUAAUGUAGGGAAACUUACGCUAAUACCGCAUACGACCUACGGGUGAAAGCAGGGGAUCUUCGGACCUUGCGCGAUUGAAUGAGCCGAUGUCGGAUUAGCUAGUUGGCGGGGUAAAGGCCCACCAAGGCGACGAUCCGUAGCUGGUCUGAGAGGAUGAUCAGCCACACUGGAACGGAGACACGGUCCAGACUCCUACGGGAGGCGGCAGUGGGGAAUAUUGGACAAUGGGCGCAAGCCUGAUCCAGCCAUACCGCGUGGGUGAAGAAGGCCUUCGGGUUGUAAAGCCCUUUUGUUGGGAAAGAAAAGCAGCAGGUUAAUACCCCGCUGUUCUGACGGUACCCAAAGAAUAAGCACCGGCUAACUUCGUG